UGGGUUUGAGUGCGUUGAAGCGCAUUAUUCUUCUAUUUAUUGGUUGGAGAGGGAUUAUGGGUAGUUUUAAGUAUUGUGUUAAAAAGAGCCGGAUAUAAUCAGAACGUAUAAUAAAAUUAUUCAAAAAAAAUUUUAUGUUGCCUUUUUUUUUUUUUUUUGUUCCUUUCUUUUUACUUUUGUUCCUUAAUAUCAUAUCAAAAAAAAUGUGAGAAUUAUGAUAUUUGAAAGUUAGCCAACAUAAAUUGAAAAGCUCAACAAAGG
This 261-nucleotide long non-coding RNA is filed under the name Gossypium raimondii (Peruvian cotton). RNAcentral describes it as "long non-coding RNA (GRAI_LNC005815)". Lineage: Eukaryota; Viridiplantae; Streptophyta; Magnoliopsida; Malvales; Malvaceae. The record is from RNAcentral.